This is a long non-coding RNA of Rhipicephalus sanguineus (brown dog tick), 530 nucleotides long. RefSeq lists it as uncharacterized. The transcript has 3 exons. Lineage: Eukaryota; Metazoa; Arthropoda; Arachnida; Ixodida; Ixodidae. The record is from RefSeq and is a predicted model, not a curated record.
GAAACGGGGCUUAAAAUAAAAAAAACAAUACCAGCAGCAAUGCCACGUCCCCGAGGGCUAAAACAGCUCCAGGUAUAGUGCAAAGAAAAACAACGAAAUAACGCGGCCCGUUUGUCGCCAUGAGGGCACUCACUUUACUUUGCCUGUUUUGCCUUAUCUUGGAUGCCAUCGCAUUCAGAUUUCCCUUAAUAUGUCAUCUCUUCGGGAACACAUGUGUACCUGAAGCCGAUUGUCCCAAAGAGAAAAAGUCAUGGAUUUUUGGCUGUGGAGAUAAAACUGUUUGCUGUAAAACAGCGAAAACCCCAUUCUGCUCAACGUUGGGAGGGACAUGCCAAGCAGUUUGCGGCGGACAUAUAAGAAAGAAUGUCACCUGCUCUGGACUAAAAACAUGUUGCGUCUACACGAGCAAAAGCGAGCAUGAUACUGUUCAUCGCCAACUCUUUGGUCAGAAGGGCAAAUUCAUCCGCAAAGGUUUUGAGUAGAGUACUUGUUUCCUUCACUGGAGAAUACUAAUAAAGCAUUGUGAGUCC